Molecule: ribosomal RNA, 856 nt
Filed under: uncultured bacterium
Lineage: Bacteria
Description: SSU rRNA
Rfam family: Bacterial small subunit ribosomal RNA
Source: RNAcentral
UACGAAGGGACCCAGCGUAGUUCGGAAUUACUGGGCUUAAAGAGUUCGUAGGUGGUUGAAAAAGUUGGUGGUGAAAUCCCAGAGCUUAACUCUGGAACUGCCAUCAAAACUUUUCAGCUAGAGUAUGAUAGAGGAAAGCAGAAUUUCUAGUGUAGAGGUGAAAUUCGUAGAUAUUAGAAAGAAUACCAAUUGCGAAGGCAGCUUUCUGGAUCAUAACUGACACUGAGGAACGAAAGCAUGGGUAGCGAAGAGGAUUAGAUACCCUCGUAGUCCAUGCCGUAAACGAUGUGUGUUAGACGUUGGAAAUUUAUUUUCAGUGUCGCAGCGAAAGCGAUAAACACACCGCCUGGGGAGUACGACCGCAAGGUUAAAACUCAAAUGAAUUGACGGGGACCCGCACAAGUAGUGGAGCAUGUGGUUUAAUUCGAAGAUACGCGCAGAACCUUACCAACACUUGACAUGUUCGUCGCGACUCUAAGAGAUUAGAGUUUUCGGUUCGGCCGGACGAAACACAGGUGCUGCAUGGCUGUCGUCAGCUCGUGUCGUGAGAUGUUGGGUUAAGUCCCGCAACGAGCGCAACCCUCACUUUUAGUUGCCCUCAUUAAGUUGGGCACUCUGAAAGAACUGCCAGUGAUAAGCUGGAGGAAGGUGGGGAUGACGUCAAGUCCUCAUGGCCCUUACGUGUUGGGCUACACACGUGCUACAAUGGUAUCUACAACAGGAAGCAAGACUGCGAAGUUAAGCAAAUCCUUAAAAGAUACCUCAGUUCGGAUUGCACUCUGCAACUCGAGUGCAUGAAGCUGGAAUUACUAGUAAUCGUGGAUCAGCGUGCCACGGUGAAUGCGUUCCCGGGUCU